GCAAAUCAUCUCUGCUGAGCACGGUCUCGAUGGCUCUGGUGUCUACAAUGGCUCCUCCGACCUCCAGUUGGAGCGUAUGAACGUCUACUUCAACGAGGCCUCCGGCAACAAAUACGUCCCCCGUGCUGUCCUCGUCGACUUGGAGCCCGGUACCAUGGACGCCGUCCGCGCUGGUCCCUUUGGUCAGCUCUUCCGUCCCGACAACUUUGUUUUCGG
This 216-nucleotide ribosomal RNA is filed under the name Talaromyces siamensis. RNAcentral describes it as "partial beta tublin". The record is from RNAcentral. Lineage: Eukaryota; Fungi; Ascomycota; Eurotiomycetes; Eurotiales; Trichocomaceae.